RNAcentral lists this unclassified non-coding RNA (1369 nucleotides) under Hevea brasiliensis (rubber tree). Lineage: Eukaryota; Viridiplantae; Streptophyta; Magnoliopsida; Malpighiales; Euphorbiaceae. The record is from RNAcentral.
UUUUUUUUUUUUUUUUGGUGUAAGUUACAAAAUAUUUGGCUCAUCCUUUGUAUUUUGACUCCAUCUGAUGAUUGCAUUUAGUAUCUUGUUCAGUCAUGUUCCCCUCUCUAGAACUUCUUGCAAAUUCUAUCAGGACAAAGCAUCUCAUAAGUAAGGGAUUUGAAUCUGCUUGAAUUUGCUUCUAGUUAUAGAGAUUGUUAUUUGUGGCAGGGGAAAUACUCCGUUUUGAAGCUUCUUUAUUUUUUGGACUACAAAAUUGUUGUCACACAUUAGUUUGAAAUAAGGUGUUUGGGCUAUAUAUAAAACUUGAACAAAUUUUGUCUCUGACCUAGUUUUUUGGGUGGAGUUAAACUUGAUCCAUUUUUUAGUAUUAGAAGCUAUCCUGCUUUAAUGUUGGGUCAUUCUGGAUGUGUUUUUAGUUUUGGAUAAGGUGUUUGAGUUAUAUAUAAGACUUAGGUAGAUCUCCUCUUGAGCUAGCUUUGCCAACAGAUGGUUUCUUAGAGUGAAUAUGGAAACCCAAUAUUGUACUUGCAUGGCCGCUCGCCAAAAUAUUGCUGGAAAUCUUAAUAUAAUAAUGCUCGACUAUCGUUUUUGUGCAGAUUUUACAUUGACUAAUGUGGAAUUGGAUUGGAUAUAAGCAUUUAGAUUAUGACUCUAAAUUAUGGAUAGUCCGUCCAAUAUAAUUGUUGUGUUCAGAAUGUUCUAUUUUAUUCAGUAAUUCAUAUACUAUUUUGAGAUUGAAAUCACAAUACAAAUUAUUGCUUAAAAAUUCCAAUUAAUAAUAGUUGUGUAUCGUGAAAUAGAAUUGUUUUUAGUGUUAAUGCACUUUUAAGUGAGCGGGCCUCAAUCCAUAUGCCUACACCAGUUGGGGACACAUAUGAGCCAGGAAGUUGACCUUCCCAAGGAUCAAGCUGGACGGAACUCCUAGUGGCGACCUUCAAUUCAAUGAUAUUGGAGUUGUAUUUAACACAACUUAAUAGUAUCAUAGUGGUUUUUAAGUUUGAGAUUACAAGUUGAGACCACAACCAAUUCAAUCAACCAUUAAAAAUGCGAAAGAAACUUGAUUCUGGACAUCAGCUUUUUGUUGUAUCAGUCUCAAAUAUGAAGUUACCAAGCAUCCAAGGGAACAGAACUCAAUAAUUCAGGUGUCUUGGAAGAUGGUACAUGAAGGUUGGAUACAUCUUUUAUAACUUUAUGCAGUACAAUGUUCUUUCAAGGUUUGUAAAAAAAAUGGAUUAGAUUUAAUUGCACCUUAAAAGUUAGCUUAGUAGACUGAGUUUAACUUCAUUUUAAAAGCUAGUUCAAUGAGAGAGAUUUGCUGUCUUGUUGGAGUUUAUCAGUUUUUUAUAUAAUAUUUAGGGAAGUGGGG